CUCGACUUACUGGAAGAGAUCGCCUGUGACGUCACAUUAAGCCCUGCAGACGCUACCACUGGAACUUCGCUUUAACCUUGGUGUAAAUGUCGCUGGAAUCCGACGCACCGUAUACUGUCCACUCGAAAAGACGGACGAGGGACGUCGAGGGUGAUCGAUCAAUUCUGCCGGGUUUGAGAAAACAAAUCCCGGCCAAAGUGGUUUGGCUCUCGGGUUAAAAGUUCAGCUAUCAACCGGUUGUUUUAAGCGUAAAAGUGAGAAGAGACGGACCAGGGCUUGAGUGAGGACCUGCAAAUAGGGAGUUGGGACUUGAACUGGUAAUGUUAUAGCUCGGUCAACAGAUAAGGCAAUUUUACAAAUCGUUUCGUAUUUUGGGCAAAAUAACUCGGUUUUAGGUUUUAAGUUGUAAACUGCUCCAAUAACAAAGUCAAGUUUGUGACGACGAUAAACGAGCUUGUUCAAACAAUUGUGACGUCAUUUAUCUUGUAAUUGUCCCCUGUGAUGUCACAUAUGAUGACAAUCACAAUAAUAAAAAUACCAAUUCUGUUAUAUAGCGCGCUUACCUUUCAAGUGGACAAUGUAAAAUUUUAAUUUUAUCUUUGGCUCGGGUUCAAUUACGAGUACUUGAAAAUCAAAA
Ciona intestinalis (vase tunicate) is the source of this 637-nucleotide non-coding RNA. The record is from RefSeq and is a predicted model, not a curated record. Lineage: Eukaryota; Metazoa; Chordata; Ascidiacea; Phlebobranchia; Cionidae.